This 722-nucleotide ribosomal RNA is filed under the name uncultured organism. Its description in RNAcentral is "bacterial SSU rRNA". It matches the Rfam family "Bacterial small subunit ribosomal RNA", at positions 28 to 737 of the family's 1533-position model. The record is from RNAcentral.
AACGAACGCUGGCGGCGCGUUUUAAGCAUGCAAGUCGAACGGUAGAAAGGUGCUUGCACCUUUUGAGAGUGGCGAACGGGUGAGUAACACGUAGAUGAUCUACCUUUUAGUCGGGGAUAGCCUGUGGAAACACAGGGUAAUACCGGAUGAGACUGUAUGGCCGAGGCUAUACAGUGAAAGGGGCUAAGGCCCCGCUGAAAGUUGAGUCUGCGGCUCAUUAGCUAGUUGGUGGGGUAAAGGCCUACCAAGGCGACGAUGAGUAGCCGGCCUGAGAGGGUGGACGGUCACACUGGGACUGAGACACGGCCCAGACUCCUACGGGAGGCAGCAGCUAAGAAUCUUCCGCAAUGGUCGAAAGGCUGACGGAGCGACGCCGCGUGGACGAAGAAGGCCGGAAGGUUGUAAAGUCCUUUUUUCAGAGAAGAAUAACGUGUGGAGGGAAUGCCGCACAGAUGACGUUAUCUGAGGAAUAAGCCCCGGCUAAUUACGUGCCAGCAGCCGCGGUAACACGUAAGGGGCGAGCGUAGUUCGGAAUUAUUGGGCGUAAAGGGCGCGUAGGCGGCUGAGCAAGCCUGGUGUGAAAGGCCACAGCUUAACUGUGGGAGUGCGCUGGGAACUGCUUGGCUAGAGUUCAGGAGGGGAAUCUGGAAUUCAUGGUGUAGGGGUGAAAUCUGUAGAUAUCAGGAAGAACAGCUGUGGAUGAAGGCGAGAUUCUGGCCAUG